This 191-nucleotide unclassified non-coding RNA is filed under the name plant metagenome. RNAcentral describes it as "partial contains small subunit ribosomal RNA and internal transcribed spacer 1". The stretch from base 1 to 46 matches the Rfam family "Eukaryotic small subunit ribosomal RNA", at positions 1786 to 1831 of the family's 1831-position model. The record is from RNAcentral.
AAGUCGUAACAAGGUUUCCGUAGGUGAACCAGCGGAGGGAUCAUUACAGAGUUGCAAAACUCCAAACCCUUGUGAACAUUUCAUACCGUUGCUUCGGCAGGCGGGGCCCAGGGGGGUUUCCACUAUAACGCCUGCCGAAAGACCAAAACUCAGCUAUCUAUGCCUUCUGAAGAAAAGACAAAUAGUUAAAA